RNAcentral lists this ribosomal RNA (334 nucleotides) under uncultured Pseudomonadota bacterium. RNAcentral's name for it is "bacterial SSU rRNA". It matches the Rfam family "Bacterial small subunit ribosomal RNA", at positions 29 to 351 of the family's 1533-position model. The record is from RNAcentral. Lineage: Bacteria; Pseudomonadati; Pseudomonadota.
AAUGAACGCUGGCGGCGUGCCUAACACAUGCAAGUCGAACGAGAAAGCUGGUUUCGACCGGCGAGUAAAGUGGCGUACGGGUGAGUAACGCGUGGGUGACCUACCCUGGGAUCUGGGAUAACACUGCGAAAGUGGUGCUAAUACCGGAUACGAUCCUGCAGUGAUGCGGGGUGAAAGUCGGCCUCUCGAAGAAGCUGAUGUUCUGGGAUGGGCUCGCGUCCUAUCAGCUAGUUGGUAGGGUAAUGGCCUACCAAGGCGACGACGGGUAGCUGGUCUGAGAGGAUGAUCAGCCACACUGGCACUGAAACACGGGCCAGACUCCUACGGGAGGCAG